RNAcentral lists this ribosomal RNA (474 nucleotides) under Echinodera pseudohystrix. RNAcentral describes it as "eukaryotic LSU rRNA". It matches the Rfam family "Eukaryotic large subunit ribosomal RNA", at positions 1340 to 1663 of the family's 3401-position model. The record is from RNAcentral. Lineage: Eukaryota; Metazoa; Arthropoda; Insecta; Coleoptera; Curculionidae.
GCUUAUACUCGACCGUCAGCGGCACGUGCGAUCGCGCGAACUUUCGCGAGCGAGCGCGGUCACGAAGCCCUGACGAGUAGGAGGGUCGCGGCGGUGAGCGCAGAAGGGCUGGCCGCGAGGCCGUCUGGAGCCGCCGUCGGUGCAGAUCUUGGUGGUAGUAGCAAAUACUCCAGCGAGGCCCUGGAGGACUGACGUGGAGAAGGGUUUCGUGUGAACAGCCGUUGCACACGAGUCAGUCGAUCCUAAGCCCUAGGCGAAAGCCGAUGUCGAUGCGGUGUAGUUUUUACGAUAAUCGAUCAAUACUACGAUAACGACGACGGCGACGAAGGCGACGAAAUAAAUUUUAAUUCGUCGUCGUAGUCGGUCUAAUCGUCGAAAUAGUAUAUGUAUAACGCGAGAGCACACACCCGUCGGGCGAAAGGGAAUCCGGUUCCUAUUCCGGAACCUGGCAGCGGAACCGUAAAAAAGUCGGGC